GGUCCGCGAAGAGAGUCCCGAUUGGAUUCUAGAGGGGGGCGGGCGCCCUGGUCCUCAGGGCGAGCGCCCUGGGCCAGGCCUCGUUCGACCUCCCGUUCGUUCCCGUGGCUUCUGGAGUCUUCUAGAUGGUAGAAAAUUGCGCGGUGCGUUGAUAUCUCUAUGUAAUCCUGACAUGUGGGCCUUUCUUCCUUAUUUCCUGAUAACCCCCUACAGAAAUAGAUAAACAACAAAUCUCGUGGAAUUCUGUCAGAUCAAACCCUAAUUCUAGGUGUUGUUUGCAUAUUGGUACUUUCUCUUGUUUAUUUGAUAAUUAAAAUUGAUACUUAAGAACCGUCAACAAAUACCCCCAUACUUAGGCUUUUACUCGUCCUUGAUAAAAGGAUGGUUAAGAAAAAUAUCUAGGGUUAAAACAUUGUAAAACAUUUUCUUCAUACUUGCAGGGUGUUAAAAUCCACUGUGUACUAUAGUCAGGGAAGUAUAUGGUUAAGAGUAAAGAUCCUUUCUUCUCAAUCCUGUCACUUGGAGUUUUUGUAUAUUUUUUAAAAGAAGGUUAGCAUACCUUUAUCCUCAUAGGUUCUUUCAGAUCACUCAUUUAUCUUUUAUAUACCUCACUAAGACUAUUUUAAUUUGCAAAAAUUCUCAAGCAUACUUACUUUGCAUUUAUUGCCUGAUCAAAACGGGAUCCGAGGAGGGGAAUGUCAUACUCUUAGAUCAAAGACUUUGGAAAUUAAAAACUUGUCAACUCUUGCUGGUAUAUUGCUUAUUAGAGGGACCAUUGGCUAUCAUUUUCUUUCUUUUUCUCUUUUUUUUAAGUGGAUACCGAGGUAACCCUAAUUCUACUGCCAGACACUUGUCCAUUUUUUCUGCGAGGUUAUCGAGCACUUGCUCCUUUUUAUUUCCUCGAAAUAUCUUUAUUUUUGCAUAACCCAUGCCUCUAAUGCAAUAAUACUUCGGAAGAGUGAAUCUUUCUGAAUAAAUGUCUUGAUCUUAGGAGCAUGAUAAAUCUCUCAACAAGUGUCUAACUCAUUUUGAACAAACUCAAUACAGAGUAGAUAGCUUUUAUAAUCAUAAUUAAUAUUUUCAGCUUUAUCAGGCAUAUAAAACGCUGAGGAUGGUAUCUAGAAUUUUGAAGAUUUUGAAAUAAAUUCUCCAAGCAACGAUGAUAUCAAGAAUAAGAAACUCAUACUCUACCAUCUCACAUUCCAUAUUGACUUAAGUAACACAGGGUUUUUAAAAUGAUUUUUCAAUAAUUGCAUGUUUCAAGACAUAUCACAGAUUGAGUUUACUUAUGAUUAGAAAUAUUUUAAUCUUUUUAGUUUAUCAUGUCGGCAACAGUAUUCUGCAUAAUCCAAAAUAUAUAUAUGUGUAAAGUAAGUGUGCAGAGUGCGUACCUGAAUCGUGGAGUGGUGUACUCGAAGUGUGUUUGGCAUGUCGAGUGAUCUCCCCCAUACUUGUUUUCUGCUUUCUUGCACAAAAAUAAAGUAGAGACACACAAGACAUAAUAAUAAUAUUAAUACUCUUUAUUAAUCUUGAGACAUUUAUUACAAAUAACUAGUA
Molecule: long non-coding RNA, 1557 nt
Filed under: Sorghum bicolor (sorghum)
Lineage: Eukaryota; Viridiplantae; Streptophyta; Magnoliopsida; Poales; Poaceae
Description: long non-coding RNA (SBIC_LNC014443)
Source: RNAcentral